RNAcentral lists this ribosomal RNA (433 nucleotides) under uncultured bacterium. Its description in RNAcentral is "partial 16S ribosomal RNA". It matches the Rfam family "Bacterial small subunit ribosomal RNA", at positions 29 to 507 of the family's 1533-position model. The record is from RNAcentral.
AACGAACGCUGGCGGCAUGCCUAACACAUGCAAGUCGAACGAGACCUUCGGGUCUAGUGGCGCACGGGUGCGUAACGCGUGGGAACCUGCCCUUAGGUUCGGAAUAACUCCCCGAAAGGGGUGCUAAUACCGGAUAAUGUCCUCGGACCAAAGAUUUAUCGCCGUUGGAUGGGCCCGCGUUGGAUUAGCUAGUUGGUAGGGUAAAAGCCUACCAAGGCGACGAUACAUAGCUGGUCUGAGAGGAUGAGCAGCCACACUGGGACUGAGACACGGCCCAGACUCCUACGGGAGGCAGCAGUGGGGAAUAUUGGACAAUGGGCGAAAGCCUGAUCCAGCAAUGCCGCGUGAGUGAUGAAGGCCUUAGGGUUGUAAAGCUCUUUUACCCGGGAUGAUAAUGACAGUACCGGGAGAAUAAGCUCCGGCUAACUCCGUG